This 253-nucleotide ribosomal RNA is filed under the name uncultured bacterium. Its description in RNAcentral is "partial 16S ribosomal RNA". It matches the Rfam family "Bacterial small subunit ribosomal RNA", at positions 524 to 776 of the family's 1533-position model. The record is from RNAcentral.
UACGUAGGGGGCGAGCGUUGUCCGGAUUUAUUGGGCGUAAAGAGCGUGUAGGCGGCCAGGUAGGUCGGUUGUGAAAACUGGAGGCUCAACCUUCAGAGGUCGACCGAAACCAUCUGGCUAGAGUCCGGAAGAGGCGAGUGGAACUCCUGGUGUAGCGGUGGAAUGCGCAGAUAUCAGGAAGAACACCAACGGCGAAGGCAGCUCGCUAGGACGGUACUGACGCUGAGACGCGAAAGCGUGGGGAGCGAACAGG